AUAUAAAAUAUAAAUUAAUAAUUCCUUAUAUAUAGCAUAUUACAUGAAUGAUUUAUGAAGGUUUCUUGAAAAAUGACUCAAUUGUCUUUUGUUUUUUGUUGAAAUCAAUUUCCCCUUGAAUCUCGUCUCUAAUUUUUCUUAGCAUGGUAAGAACUUCUGGUGUUUUACUAUGAACCCAUUCUUGCAAUUGCUUUUGAGUGAGACUUGGAUUAUCCUUGUUGUGCUUGCAUAAUGCUCUUCGAAUCUCGUCUGUCAUUGUUGUUUUUUUUCACACCUUUAAGAUGGGAAGCCAUGUUGUGUGUAUGAUUUGUUUGUGUUAACCUAUUUUGAUCUUGUAUUUAUAUAGAAAAUAUUUUUAAUGUCCAUAAAGUGAUACAUUGAACACAAGAAGCAUAAUAAGGUGG
Molecule: long non-coding RNA, 404 nt
Filed under: Helianthus annuus (common sunflower)
Lineage: Eukaryota; Viridiplantae; Streptophyta; Magnoliopsida; Asterales; Asteraceae
Description: sRNA HanXRQr2_Chr11g0501421
Source: RNAcentral